GGGGGGCGGGGGGGGGGGGGGGGGGGGGGGGGGGGCGGGCGAGCGGACGAGGAGCUUGCUCCUCUGACGUUAGCGGCGGACGGGUGAGUAACACGUGGAGAACCUACCUAUAAGACGGGGAUAACUUCGGGAAACCGGAGCUAAUACCGGAUAAUAUAUUGAACCGCAUGGUUCAAUAGUUAAAGACGGUUUUGCUGUCACUUAUAGAUGGCUCCGCGCCGCAUUAGCUAGUUGGUAAGGUAACGGCUUACCAAGGCAACGAUGCGUAGCCGACCUGAGAGGGUGAUCGGCCACACUGGAACUGAGACACGGUCCAGACUCCUACGGGAGGCAGCAGUAGGGAAUCUUCCGCAAUGGGCGAAAGCCUGACGGAGCAACGCCGCGUGAGUGAUGAAGGUCUUCGGAUCGUAAAACUCUGUUAUUAGGGAAGAACAAAUGUGUAAGUAACUAUGCACGUCUUGACGGUACCUAAUCAGAAAGCCACGGCUAACUACGUG
RNAcentral lists this ribosomal RNA (497 nucleotides) under uncultured bacterium. RNAcentral describes it as "partial 16S ribosomal RNA". It matches the Rfam family "Bacterial small subunit ribosomal RNA", at positions 38 to 507 of the family's 1533-position model. The record is from RNAcentral.